Molecule: long non-coding RNA, 331 nt
Filed under: Phoenix dactylifera (date palm)
Lineage: Eukaryota; Viridiplantae; Streptophyta; Magnoliopsida; Arecales; Arecaceae
Description: long non-coding RNA (PDAC_LNC021049)
Source: RNAcentral
AAAUAUUCUCAGUCGUUGGUACAUUGAGUCGGGGAUCAAUGUUUACCGGCAAGACUGGCACAUCUUAUGUAUGCUCGUUUGCAGAGGGUGAUUGAUCUCACAAUCACUUAUGUGGAGAUACUAAUACAAAGAUGUGGGUACUCAUUAGAGGAAUGAGUUCACUGAAUUGACCUGCCUAGAGAAUAUCUUAUGAAGUCUUACUUACAUGUCAAAAGAUGAUUCUCUUAGUGGGAGUUGUGCAACUGAUCCUUUGACCUGAGAUCACCAUGGUAUCUUGUGCACAUGAAUCCAUAUUUUGGUUUACACUCAUUCAUGACAAUAAGUUGUGUAC